Molecule: ribosomal RNA, 468 nt
Filed under: uncultured bacterium
Lineage: Bacteria
Description: partial 16S ribosomal RNA
Rfam family: Bacterial small subunit ribosomal RNA
Source: RNAcentral
GACGAACGCUGGCGGCGUGCUUAACACAUGCAAGUCGAACGGAAAGGCCCUGCUUUUGUGGGGUGCUCGAGUGGCGAACGGGUGAGUAACACGUGAGUAACCUGCCCUUGACUUUGGGAUAACUUCAGGAAACUGGGGCUAAUACCGGAUAGGAGCUCCUGCUGCACGGUGGGGGUUGGAAAGUUUCGGCGGUUGGGGAUGGACUCGCGGCUUAUCAGCUUGUUGGUGGGGUAGUGGCUUACCAAGGCUUUGACGGGUAGCCGGCCUGAGGGGGUGACCGGCCACAUUGGGACUGAGGUACGGCCCAGACUGCUACGGGAGGCAGCAGUGGGGAAUAUUGCACAGUGGGCGGAAGCCUGAUGCAGCAACGCCGCGUGCGGGAUGACGGCCUUCGGGUUGUAAACCGCUUUCGCCUGUGACGAAGCGUGAGUGACGGUAAUGGGUAAAGAAGCACCGGCUAACUACGUG